This 447-nucleotide ribosomal RNA is filed under the name uncultured bacterium. Its description in RNAcentral is "bacterial SSU rRNA". It matches the Rfam family "Bacterial small subunit ribosomal RNA", at positions 355 to 825 of the family's 1533-position model. The record is from RNAcentral.
UCGGGAAUUUUGGGCAAUGGGCGAAAGCCUGACCCAGCAACGCCGCGUGAAGGAUGAAGUAUUUCGGUAUGUAAACUUCGAAAGAAUAGGAAGAAUAAAUGACGGUACUAUUUAUAAGGUCCGGCUAACUACGUGCCAGCAGCCGCGGUGAUACGUAGGGAGCUAGCGUUGUUCGGAAUCACUGGGCGUAAAGCGCACGUAGGUGGGCAGUUAAGUCAGGGGUGAAAGCCCGAGGCUCAACCUCGGAAUUGCCUCUGAUACUGGCUGUCUAGAGUUCGAGAGAGGUGAGUGGAAUUCCUAGUGUAGAGGUGAAAUUCGUAGAUAUUAGGAAGAACACCGGUGGCGAAGGCGGCUCACUGGCUCGAUACUGACACUGAGGUGCGAAAGCGUGGGGAGCAAACAGGAUUAGAUACCCCAGUAGUCCCUGAGCGGGCUGGCAAGGCGCAU